ACACUCCUACGGGAGGCAGCAGUGGGGAAUAUUGCACAAUGGGCGCAAGCCUGAUGCAGCCAUGCCGCGUGUAUGAAGAAGGCCUUCGGGUUGUAAAGUACUUUCAGCGGGGAGGAAGGCGAUAAGGUUAAUAACCUUGUCGAUUGACGUUACCCGCAGAAGAAGCACCGGCUAACUCCGUGCCAGCAGCCGCGGUAAUACGGAGGGUGCAAGCGUUAAUCGGAAUUACUGGGCGUAAAGCGCACGCAGGCGGUCUGUCAAGUCGGAUGUGAAAUCCCCGGGCUCAACCUGGGAACUGCAUUCGAAACUGGCAGGGUAGAGUCUUGUAGAGGGGGGUAGAAUUCCAGGUGUAGCGGUGAAAUGCGUAGAGAUCUGGAGGAAUACCGGUGGCGAAGGCGGCCCCCUGGACAAAGACUGACGCUCAGGUGCGAAAGCGUGGGGAGCAAACAGGAUUAGAAACCCCGGUAGUCCCAUGAU
Molecule: ribosomal RNA, 477 nt
Filed under: uncultured organism
Description: partial 16S ribosomal RNA
Rfam family: Bacterial small subunit ribosomal RNA
Source: RNAcentral